Molecule: long non-coding RNA, 3150 nt
Filed under: Homo sapiens (human)
Lineage: Eukaryota; Metazoa; Chordata; Mammalia; Primates; Hominidae
Description: HSALNT0374034
Source: RNAcentral
GUUCUGCUUUCAGCAGCUACUUUUCUGGUUUGAAGGGGGGAAGGAAAAAAAAACUGGGGAGAACUAGGCGGCUUUCUGAUCAGAGUUCAGAUAAAAAGGGUCACAGUAAUUUGUGGGCACUGACUAAAAUAACCCAAUGGAUUUGAGAGUUACCGCAAAAGAAGCAAACAGACAAACUAAAGAGGGACUUCAGCCAUGAACUUGGUGAUGAGCCAGAGAAGGUAACUUUUCAUCCCCUACAAGACCUCCCAGAGGCCUUUAUUCUUCUUACAGCGAUUCUGCUGUGAAUUCGUACGGAAUGGGCUCCAGCAGCUCAGGCUACUUUCCACUGGGUCUCACAAAGUGUGCUUCUCGAAGCAGGCUGGGGCUUCCCUUGAACCCAGAUUCCCACUUAUGUACCUAAAGGAGCAACUCCAUGUUUUCCAAAAGGCCUGAAAAACAUAUAGCAGAUUCCAUGUUGCAGCUAACCUUAAAGAAAUCAUCACUUGGAACUGAUUCAGAAUCCCAUAUCACAUUUUGUUAUUACUUUUGCCUGGUCUCCUGCUGUCUGGAACAGUUUUUCAGUCUUCCUUCAUUUUCAAGAGUGUGAAAGGAUCCCAAGACCAAAAGUCUGGGAACUGCUGGUUUAGAGUCACAAUACUGACUGCUCAAAAUGACUUUUUAAAGAAGAAAGCCUUAAAAACCCUUGAGUGAAUGGUUGGUAUUUACAGACAAGCAAAUGUAUGGAAGAGAAACGAGAGACCCAGCCUGAAUCUGUUGAAUGAACGAAAGGGGAAAUGCCCUAAGGAGUCAGAUGGAAGAAGUUUUUCUGGGAAGAGCAGAACACAGGAGUUGGGGUGCAGACCUCCUGGAUCACCAGCAGAAGGAAAAGAGCAGUGAGACGUUAAAGUGAUUGAGACAAAAAUGGAAGUAAAACAGCUUAAGGCUUUCUGAGAUCGAGUUCCUGGCAGUGUCAUCAGCAGAUGGUUUCUUCUGAAGUUCAGGGGAAGAGAAGAUGCUCGAAGAACUCUCCAGGGACUGAGUGGGUGGUACAGAGCUAGUGCUGUAGAUGCCAUGUAUACAGGCAAAUUCCCCAAUGAGUGUUUUCCAAUAUCAAGUUUAACUGGCAUUUAAGAUAUAUGCCAAAGGUAGGUAAAUUAUUUUGGCCUGUGCUUAUAGGUUUAUUUCCCUGGAUGAAGCUUUCUGUCUCUGUCCUAGUGCACUGUAGCAGAUGCAGGGUCUUUCCAUACAAUACAUUAAAAGCUGCAUCUCAUUUUAAAUAUAUUAUAGAAACCCUGAUCAUACAAUACAUACAAGAUUUUUAAGAUCAGCCUUCAGUCGAUUUUUUUGCUUUAUUUUUGUUCUGGAGGUCAAAAUGAGUGGUUAACUGUCUAAGUUGAUUGCAGAGAAAGUUACUACUCAUUCUAAACGUAGGUUUUUAGAAAAGUGUUCUUGGCAGUUGCUACCAUUGGCUUUUUCCAACUUACAUGGGAAUCAAGAUUCAGAACUGGUACACCAAUGGGAAGAGCCUGGAAAAUAGACUAUUGAUCAAGAUGAAUCUGGUCCAGAUACUUUAAGACCUUUUCAGUGUGUUUUUAAGAUUAUAAGUUUGAACUAACAGAAACUUCAAUGCUGUUUUUUCACAAGUCAAUGUGUAGUGUACUGUUAUUCUUUUUUUUCCUGUAAUAUCUUAAUAAUAUUCCUGGCUGUAAGAAAAAGUUAACACUAUACCUAUGUUUUGACUUACUUUAUAGAAGACCCAAACAAUAUUUAACAAAAGGAUUUUUCUCAAAUACUAUUUUGAAAUCACUAUAUUAGACACUAUCUUAAAUUUAUUUCUCAAUUUGCUUCUUUUUGAAACUUCCACAUUUUGGUGUUCUUUUCAGCAUCACUCAUUUUCUUUCAUAAUAAAGAUACCCAAUAACAAUAUCAUAAUAAAGAUUUGAUAACAAAUCUCCAGUUUUGGAGUGUUACAUUUCAUAUCUACAUGCUUACAGAGAAUUUAGUAUGAAUAUUCCCUGGCCUUAGUUCCUCUAAGCCUAGGAUACUUGUAGUCAUUUGGCAAAUAAUUUAAUCCAUGGCAAACAUGAGUCUUAAUACAAAAAUUAUUGAGUAGGCAAAAAAUAAUUGAACAUAUUUUGGACUGAUUACCAGUGCAUUAAAAAAGUAGAGGUUUAAGGAUGAGAAUAAUAAGUUUUUUUGUUUUUACUUAAAUUUAUAUAAAAGGAGUGAAAAUACAGUAGCCUAUAGUACUUAAGAGUGUGGGUAUAUUUUCAGCACUUAAUAAUUACUAGUUGAAUUGCAUAAUAUGGGACUAUAACUGAUAUGGUUUGGCUCUGUGUCCCCGCCCAAAUCUCAUGUUGAAUUAUAAUUUCCAAUAUUGGAGGAGGUACCUAGUGGGAGGUGACUGGAUCAUUGGGGGAAAUUUCCCCCUUGCUGUCCUCAUGAUAGUGAGUGAGUUCUCACAAGAUCUGAUGGUUUAAAAGUGUGUGGCAUUUCCCCCUUUACUCUUUCUCUCUCCUGCUGGCCAUGAGAAUAAGUGCUUGCUUCCCAUUCACCUUCUGCCAUGCUUGUGUUUCCUGAGGCUUCCCAGCCAUGCUUCUUGUUCAAGCUGCAGAACUGUGAGUCAAUUAAACCUCAUUUCUUCAUAAAUUACCCAGUCUCAGCUCUUUAUGGGAGUGUGAGAAUGGACUAAUAAAAUAUCUCUAGAAUUAUGUUUUUGGAGAUAAUUUAAAGAUAAACAAAUAUUGGAAACCUCAUUUGAUCACACAGAGAACAGUAAAUGGAAGUUCUACUUUUUCUCCAGGGCCUUUCUCAUGCUUAUGCAGGGAUUAUUCACCCAGAUAUCCUGAAAUAAGACAUCCAAUUAAGGUACCUGCUAUCUCAUGUAACACAGAAGAAAGUUGAGCAUAGAGGUUAAACAUUACCUAAUAUUGUUGGAAAAGCUUCGAAGCGUUCAUUUUCAAAGCAGCUAAUGUAAACCAUGAUAAUCACUAGUAGCACUAUGCCAUUUUAAAUACUUCAAUAUUUUGUAGUUAUUAGAUUCUAAGUAAGUAUAAAAUGUAGUGAAUACAAAUUUUAUUUGCCUAAACAGUGUUAGACAAUAUAAAUUAACGAGUUAUUUUUUAUUCUGUUUAAUAUUUUCAAGCCAAUAAACACUUUACUAAAGUA